RNAcentral lists this RNase P RNA (352 nucleotides) under Sphingobacteriaceae bacterium. Its description in RNAcentral is "partial RNase P RNA component class A". It matches the Rfam family "Bacterial RNase P class A". Rfam says of the family: Ribonuclease P (RNase P) is a ubiquitous endoribonuclease, found in archaea, bacteria and eukarya as well as chloroplasts and mitochondria. Lineage: Bacteria; Pseudomonadati; Bacteroidota; Sphingobacteriia; Sphingobacteriales; Sphingobacteriaceae. The record is from RNAcentral.
UUCGGGGAGGAAAGUCCGGGCAGCAUAGGGCAUCCUGCUUCCUAACGGGAAGGCGCCAUCCGGAUGGGCGACAGCAAGUGCCACAGAAAAUAAACCGCCCGAAGCAGUUUGGGUAAGGGUGAAAACGUGCGGUAAGAGCGCACGGCCUGGCAUGGCAACAUGCCUUGCGGUAAACCUCAGGAGCUGAAAGGCCAAAUAGGUUCUGGUAGUUAUAAAAAGUGGCUCGCUUUUGUUGCUUCGGCAACGCCAGAACGGGUAGGCUGAUGGAGGUGAUGAGCGAUCAUCAUCCAAGAUAAAUGGCAGAAACCUGGGCAACCAGGCACAGAACCCGGCUUACAGGUUUGCUAUCCGG